UGGGAUUAAAGGUGUGCGCCAC
This 22-nucleotide non-coding RNA is filed under the name Mus musculus (house mouse). The record is from RNAcentral. Lineage: Eukaryota; Metazoa; Chordata; Mammalia; Rodentia; Muridae.